CCUGUAAGAAGUAGAAACAUUUUUUUUUAUGAGGGCUCCUUGCUCCUUUUACAAGAUUAGGACAAUGAAUGACACAACCCUUGUUCUUCUGCUGUAAUUAUGCACUAGUAUGGCUCUGCUCAAGGAGUUGGACACAAUGGCCGCUCACAGCAGAUGCGGUGCAGGGGGGGUGGUGGGCGUACACAUGUGUGCAUGUUUUUUUUUCUCUUCAUUCUCUGGUGGAGAUGCACACAAUGAACACUAUUCUUGGGCUCCAUGAUUUGAAUGAAUUCAGAAGAGUUGACAGAGGCACGCACUGUUUGGAUCGUCUGUUUGUGUGCCUUUCCCUCCCAUGAACAAGGCUUUUUCAUGAACGGGUGGCGUGCUUUAUUGUUCUGCAUGUGGCAGACUUAACAGCAAGAAAACUAUAUGGAGAAGGUGCAACGUUGACGCCAUGUGCUCGAGUCAGAAAGUAUUUCUAACUGAUCCAGGAAAAGGGGGUGUGGCACCCUGAAUGAGCGUGGGCCACUCACUCUCUCCCUCUCUGCUUUGAUGGAGUGGUUGCGUAAUAUAUCCCACCAUCCAACCAAUAGGUACAGAUACAAUCAUCCCACUGAGCCGUCGUGCACGUGCACGAGUGUUAGUUGGGGGGGUGUUUCUGUCUCUCCACGCCCCCCAUCUUUCAUCCCUGUGCUCCCAUAGGUCUGGUUCAAAGGUAACAGAGGGACCGGGGGCUCUAUAAAGAUCCAGAGGGUCCACGCUGACAUUCUGCUCUUUGCAUUUCUUCGGUUCUGACUUGUUUAUUCCACCAGCACACAUCAAAAUGCCCAGCAAGAGGAAGAAGAACAAGCGUCGCAUGAGGAGGGUGCAGGCGCAGAGGAGGGCGCUAGAAGAGCAGCAUGCAGCCAACCCACCAGUCAAAGCAAGCCCUGGCAUCGCAGCGAGUGCGCCCCCUGCAGCAACCCCAAAGAAAGGCGCUAAAGUGCCAGCACCAGUUCCAGUAAAGAUCCCAGACGCCGUUCCCAUCGCUGUCCCCAUCGUGGAGGCCCCUGUUGUCGAGGCCCCCAUUGUGGAGACCCUUGAAGUAGAACUCAAACCAGUUGUUCAAGAACCCAUCACAGAGCCCGUCCCAGUCGAGGUAGAGACACCAGAGCCUGAGGCUGUGGUGUUGGAACAGACUCCAGCAGAAGUCGAGGUUGAAGUCACGGCACCGGUCACUGAAGAAGCGCUGGUCGUUGAGACUCCACCAGCGGAGCCUGCUGUAGUUGAAGCUGAGAUUGUAGAGGAGGCCGAACCUAUCAUUCCCGAAACAGAACCAGAAACUGAGGUCAUACCCCCAGCUGAGGCUCCAGUGGAGGCUCUUGCUGAGAUUGAGAUUCAGACAGAGGUGACAGCAGUCACAACUACAGAGACAGAACAGGAUGCUCCUGUCCAAUCAGUGGAAAUCCUAGAGCUGCCAGUCACCAUCCCCGAGGCUGUGGUCGAAGAGGCUGAAGCCCCCGUAACCGCAGCGGAAGAGACCCCUGCCACACAGGCAAUCGCUGACAGCCUGGUCGACGACUUCGUUGUCACAGAAUCAGCCUCAGCAGUGGAGGUCGCCAUCGCUGAGUCUGCUGCUGUCGAGCCGGAAAUUGUGGAAGUGACUGACACCCUCGUAAUCCAGUCGGAAUGUUUGGAGGUGACGCCCGCUGAGCCUGAGCCCACUCCUGUUCUUGCCCCUGCAGAGGAAAUGAUCAUCGAUGCCGCUGCUGAGCAGACAUGUCGUGAUAUGCUCUCAGAAGAGCCAAAGCCAGAAAUCUGUGACAUCUCGUGUCAGAUGCAGCUCAACGUGGAGUCCGUGGAGACGUCGGUAGAGGCGACGCUCAAUGGACACAUUGUUCCAGAAGUCUCCAUUGAGGGCUAGAUACACAUCUCACAGCUUGGAAGACCUUUUUUGUCUUUAUUCCCCUUUGGUCAACUGGCGGACUCAAAGCUUUAAAGGGAGUCAACCAGUCGACGUUUUUUUAUUUUUCAGGGCUUACGACAGAACCGCCAGGAAAUUGAAGGGACAUCCACACUCUGAAGUGCCUUUCCUGCCCUUGUUCCUGUCAAAAACUCCAAACCAGAUGUCAACACGCCAACAACGGCUGCAUUCAAGGCAGCAC
Molecule: long non-coding RNA, 2123 nt
Filed under: Sparus aurata (gilthead seabream)
Lineage: Eukaryota; Metazoa; Chordata; Actinopteri; Spariformes; Sparidae
Description: lncRNA (ENSSAUG00010016280.1)
Source: RNAcentral